UAAGAAAGUGUAUAAAAGCGCUUGCAACUGCCGGUUCAUUAACAACUUCUCUUGACUUAUCCUCUUCAGCGACUGGGAUUUACCUCCAACACUGAAAGAUGAUUUUCGACGAAAACUUUAGUGAUGAAUUGUAUUAUAAGCCCCAACAUUACAAGGGCUGGUAUGGUAGAGGUCACGGCUACUGGAGGCCAUGGUACUACCAAAGGCCAUACGGGUGUGGUUGGGGCUAUCCCAAACAUUGUUGGUACCCUUAUCCUAGCCGUUGGGGCUGGGGAUACGGCUAUGGAAAGGGUUGGCCAUGUUUCGCCGAGGAGGAAUAGAGCCGGAACGUGGAAAGGCCAGAAAACGUUAAGCCAGAUUCACAGAUGAGUUUAUGGGCAAUAGGUCUGAGAAAUGCAGAGUCACCCCAACUCCCAUGGGAGCUGUGAGUGCUCAGCAUCUCAGUAAAUCUGCCCCAUAUCUAUAUUGCCUAGGUUACAUUCGAUGACCGUUUCCUCUACUGUCUUCUAUACACUCUGCUUCUUCUAGAAUACUCUGUUUGGGAGUGAAUCUCAGUUUCACGAAGGCCCCUUUACAUUAUGCUGACACAGUAACUGAAGCAGGCUCCUUACAACGCUGUCAAAAGAGGUCUUAGUGUCAAUGAGAAUCAAGCCCUACCUGUUCUAGUCCUUUCAUGCAUAUGUGCCAUUUGUUUCUGCUUUCAACUUCGUUUUAUAUGUUGUUUACUGGAGAAGUAGUUUCAUCCUUGGCUUUAGUUGUGCUUUGUCUCAUUUCAUUCUGACUGUGAUGGAACUAAUACCUUAAGAUGGUUGCAAAGAGAACUUGAUUGGGAAAAUCUACAACUGUGACGAAGAACGAAGAACAUCUGGUGUGAAAUGCAUCACCUUGGAACUAAUGAUUCAUUAGAGACCUUCUUGAUACCUUAGAGAUAUUAUUGUAAUUCUGA
Long non-coding RNA from Gopherus flavomarginatus (Mexican gopher tortoise), 946 nucleotides. RefSeq lists it as uncharacterized. The transcript has 4 exons. Lineage: Eukaryota; Metazoa; Chordata; Testudines; Testudinidae. The record is from RefSeq and is a predicted model, not a curated record.